This 1083-nucleotide long non-coding RNA is filed under the name Nicotiana benthamiana. RNAcentral's name for it is "long non-coding RNA (NBEN_LNC014850)". The record is from RNAcentral. Lineage: Eukaryota; Viridiplantae; Streptophyta; Magnoliopsida; Solanales; Solanaceae.
AUUGGAGGCAUUCUACAAGUGGUGAAGAAUUCCUUAGCAGCUACAAAUAUUUCCUCACUUACUAAAUCCCAGUUCCUAGUGAAGAAGAAGAAUUCCUUUGCAGCAGCAAAUAUGUCCUCACUUACUAAAUCCUAGUUCCUAGUAGAAUUCCACUGGUAAACCAUCCACCCCAGGUGCUUUGUCUUUUGGCUUCUCCAUAAUAGUGUCUGUGAUUUCCUCCAUAGUAAUCUCCUGAAUCAGCACUGUCUACUGUGCUCUAGAAAGGCAUGGGCCUUCUUUGAUGAUAUUAAUGUUCACACAAGUUAAUUCCUCUACACAUUCUCCCAUCAAUGUUUGGAAUACUAUGAUAAAUUCCUGUUCCACUUCUUUAGGGUCAGUGAGUUUGAUUCCAGUGUCAGUGUAUACUGAGGUAAUGUUAUUCUGAGAUGUUCUGAUUUUCCAUUGGGCAUGGAAAUAUUUGGUGUUUGCAUCACCACAUUCAAUCCAAACAGCUUUGGAUUUCUGUCUCAUAACAUGUUCCUCCACAGCACUCCACUUCUCAAUUUCUACCAGCAAUGCUUUCUUUUUAUCAAACAGGGCCUGUGAAACUAAGCAUUUCUGUAGUUGGUGAUGGGUAAUAUCCAGUUCCUCUCUAGCCUGCACAAGUCUUCGCUUAUAUGUAGCCAUGUAUGCAUUUAGGUCCCUUAAUUGCUGCUUCAUAACCUUUAGUUUGCUCCAAACCUUCUGCAAAGAUGAUCCCCUGUACUCUGGCUGCCAAACAUUCUGGAUGAUGUGUUGGAAUUGAGGCAGUUCCAUAAUAUUAGUGUACAUUCUGAAUGGCUUGGGAUGUAACAGUUGAUGGUCUCCAAAUUUGAUAAGAAUUGGAGAGUGAUCUGAUACUGAAGGAUUCAUGAAAUCAGCUUCUAAGUGACCAUAAUUCUGUAGCCACUGGUAGUUUCCCAGUGCGCAAUCAAUCUUACUAUAAACUCUUGUAGUAGUACCUUGCUUAUUUGUCCAAGUGUAAUGCCAACCCUUUUCUCUGAGAGGAGCGAGCUGCAAAUCAUUAAUGACAUCUUUAAAACCUUUAAUUUCAGCUUCAGUAAC